RNAcentral lists this ribosomal RNA (253 nucleotides) under uncultured bacterium. Its description in RNAcentral is "partial 16S ribosomal RNA". It matches the Rfam family "Bacterial small subunit ribosomal RNA", at positions 524 to 776 of the family's 1533-position model. The record is from RNAcentral.
UACGUAGGGGGCAAGCGUUGUCCGGAAUCAUUGGGCGUAAAGCGCGUGUAGGCGGCUCGGUAAGUCUGCUGUGAAAGUCCAGGGCUCAACCCUGGGAUGCCGGUGGAUACUGUCGAGCUCGAGUCCGGAAGAGGCGAGUGGAAUUCCUGGUGUAGCGGUGAAAUGCGCAGAUAUCAGGAAGAACACCGGUGGCGAAGGCGGCUCUCUGGGCCUUACCUGACGCUGAGGUGCGAAAGCGUGGGGAGCAAACGGG